AGAGUUUGAUCCUGGCUCAGAAUGAACGCUGGCGGCGUGCUUAACACAUGCAAGUCGUUCGAGAACGUUCCGCUUCGGUGGAACAAGUAAAGUGGCGCACGGGUGCGUAACGCGUGGGUAAUCUACCCUUGAAUUUGGGAUAACUCCGCGAAAGCGGUGCUAAUACCGGAUAAUAUCUUUUAAUCCACGGACUAUUAGAUCAAAGGUGGCUUCUACAUGUAAGCUACCGUUUAAGGAGGAGCCCGCGUACCAUUAGCUAGUUGGUAGGGUAAAUGCCUACCAAGGCAACGAUGGUUAGCUGGUCUGAGAGGAUGAUCAGCCACAUUGGAACUGACACACGGUCCAGACUCCUACGGGAGGCAGCAGUGAGGAAUUUUGCGCAAUGGGGGAAACCCUGACGCAGCAACGCCGCGUGAGCGAUGAAGGCCUUAGGGUCGUAAAACUCUGUCAAGUGGAAAGAACCUGUUAAACCUUAAUACGGUUUAGCACUGACGGUACCACUGAAGGAAGCACCGGCUAACUCCGUGCCAGCAGCCGCGGUAAUACGGGGGGUGCAAGCGUUAUUCGGAAUUAUUGGGCGUAAA
RNAcentral lists this ribosomal RNA (584 nucleotides) under uncultured Pseudomonadota bacterium. RNAcentral's name for it is "bacterial SSU rRNA". It matches the Rfam family "Bacterial small subunit ribosomal RNA", at positions 8 to 564 of the family's 1533-position model. Lineage: Bacteria; Pseudomonadati; Pseudomonadota. The record is from RNAcentral.